RNAcentral lists this ribosomal RNA (301 nucleotides) under uncultured bacterium. RNAcentral's name for it is "partial 16S ribosomal RNA". It matches the Rfam family "Bacterial small subunit ribosomal RNA", at positions 509 to 807 of the family's 1533-position model. The record is from RNAcentral.
CAGUCGCCGCGGGAAUACGAAGGGUGCAAGCGUUAAUCGGAAUUACUGGGCGUAAAGCGUGCGUAGGCGGUGAGUUAAGUCUGCUGUGAAAUCCCCGGGCUCAACCUGGGAAUGGCAGUGGAUACUGGCUCGCUAGAGUGUGUCAGAGGAUGGUGGAAUUCCCGGUGUAGCGGUGAAAUGCGUAGAGAUCGGGAGGAACAUCAGUGGCGAAGGCGGCCAUCUGGGACAACACUGACGCUGAGGCACGAAAGCGUGGGGAGCAAACAGGAUUAGAGACCCGUGUAGUCCAUGUCUCUUAUAC